AGAGUUUGAUCAUGGCUCAGGAUGAACGCUAGCGGCAGGCUUAACACAUGCAAGUCGUGGGGCAGCGCGGACUUCGGUCUGGCGGCGACCGGCAAACGGGUGCGGAACACGUACGCAACCUCCCUCAGAGCGGGGAAUAGCCUCUCGAAAGAGAGAUUAAUACCCCAUAGUAUCUUGAAGACACAUGUCUAUGAGAUUAAAGCUUCGGCACUUUGAGAUGGGCGUGCGGCUGAUUAGGUAGUUGGUAGGGUAACGGCCUACCAAGCCGACGAUCAGUAGCUGAUGUGAGAGCAUGAUCAGCCACACGGGCACUGAGACACGGGCCCGACUCCUACGGGAGGCAGCAGUGAGGAAUAUUGGUCAAUGGAGGAAACUCUGAACCAGCCAUGCCGCGUGGAGGAUGAAGGUCCUCUGGAUUGUAAACUCCUUUUAUAAAAGAAGAAACCCCAUUUUUCUAAAUGGGUUGGCGGUACUUUAUGAAUAAGCACCGGCUAACUCCGUG
This 502-nucleotide ribosomal RNA is filed under the name uncultured bacterium. RNAcentral's name for it is "bacterial SSU rRNA". It matches the Rfam family "Bacterial small subunit ribosomal RNA", at positions 8 to 507 of the family's 1533-position model. The record is from RNAcentral.